UGGUCGUGGAUAUGUCGGAAC
This 21-nucleotide non-coding RNA is filed under the name Caenorhabditis elegans. Lineage: Eukaryota; Metazoa; Nematoda; Chromadorea; Rhabditida; Rhabditidae. The record is from RNAcentral.